Molecule: long non-coding RNA, 623 nt
Filed under: Phoenix dactylifera (date palm)
Lineage: Eukaryota; Viridiplantae; Streptophyta; Magnoliopsida; Arecales; Arecaceae
Description: long non-coding RNA (PDAC_LNC020093)
Source: RNAcentral
AACAAAUUGACAGAUUUUCCCUCUAAAAAGAUAAAAUUCAGUUCAACAACUUCAAAGCAUUAAAAGGAAAUUCAGAGAAUCAAAACAUAGUUGAAUGCAUAUGUUGAGGGGGAGAAUCUGAAUUUUAAUCAAGCUAAAUCAUUAAUGACAUAUAAGCCGAACAAUUGAUUGCAUAAUAUGAGGGCUUAUAUAAUUCCAAAUGAAAGGGGGAGCUUUAACUCCGAAAUUUAAUGUUUCACUCCUUUCAAACUUGGAUAAAUUAAAUUAUCAGAUAUUUGAAUUCAUUUAUGGAUUUUACUUCAUUGUUUUAUGAGCAAUUCACUUUACAUAUACUCAAAGUUUUGUCAUCAUCAAAAAGGGGGAGAUUGUAGAGUGAUUGAUUAAAACCCCAUUUGAUUUUGAUGAGCUCAAAGUAUUUGAGUAUAUCUUGUGAUUACUAAUGAAUUCAAUUGAGUGUUUCAGUGAAAAUCCUGUCCAAGUGUUUCUAGACUUGGUUCAUAGUAUUUUGGAUAAGUUAAGAAGUCUGCAUGAACCAAUGUCUGAGACUCAAGUCGACUCCCGAGUAUCACGAGUCGACUCCAAGCGUAUCAAGCUCACUGGCACGAGCUCGAGUCGACUCCAGA